UACGUAGGGUGUAAGCGUUGUCCGGAAUUAUUGGGCGUAAAGAGCUUGUAGGCGGUUUGUCGCGUCUGCUGUGAAAUUUCGGGGCUCAACCCCGAACUUGCAGUGGGUACGGGCAGACUAGAGUGUGGUAGGGGAGACUGGAAUUCCUGGUGUAGCGGUGAAAUGCGCAGAUAUCAGGAGGAACACCGAUGGCGAAGGCAGGUCUCUGGGCCACUACUGACGCUGAGAAGCGAAAGCAUGGGGAGCGAACAGG
RNAcentral lists this ribosomal RNA (253 nucleotides) under uncultured bacterium. Its description in RNAcentral is "partial 16S ribosomal RNA". It matches the Rfam family "Bacterial small subunit ribosomal RNA", at positions 524 to 776 of the family's 1533-position model. The record is from RNAcentral.